UCCUUUGACGUUAGCGGCGGACGGGUGAGUAACACGUGGGUAACCUACCUAUAAGACUGGAAUAACUCCGGGAAACCGGGGCUAAUGCCGGAUAACAUGUUGAACCGCAUGGUUCUACAGUGAAAGACGGUCUUGCUGUCACUUAUAGAUGGACCCGCGCCGUAUUAGCUAGUUGGUGGGGUAACGGCCUACCAAGGCGACGAUACGUAGCCGACCUGAGAGGGUGAUCGGCCACACUGGAACUGAGACACGGUCCAGACUCCUACGGGAGGCAGCAGUAGGGAAUCUUCCGCAAUGGGCGAAAGCCUGACGGAGCAACGCCGCGUGAGUGAUGAAGGUCUUCGGAUCGUAAAGCUCUGUUGUUAGGGAAGAACAAAUGUGUAAGUAACUGUGCACAUCUUGACGGUACCUAACCAGAAAGCCACGGCUAACUACGUGCCAGCAGCCGCGGGUAAUUACGUUAGGUGGCAARCGUUAUCCGGAAUUAUUGGGCGUAAAGCGCGCGUAGGGCGGUUUUUUAAGUCUGAUGUUGAAAGCCCACGGCUCAACCCGUGGAGGGUCAUURGAAACCUGRAAAACUUGAGUGCAGAWGAGGAAAAGUGGAAUUCCAUGUGUAGCGGUGAAAUGCGCAGAGAUAUGGAGGAACACCAGUGGCGAAGGCGGCUUUUCUGGUCUGCAACUGACGCUGAUGUGCGAAAGCGUGGGGAUCAAACAGGAUUAGAUACCCUGGUAGUCCACGCCGUAAACGAUGAGUGCUAAGUGUUAGGGGGUUUCCGCCCCUUAGUGCUGCAGCUAACGCAUUAAGCACUCCGCCUGGGGAGUACGGUCGCAAGACUGAAACUCAAAGGAAUUGACGGGGACCCGCACAAGCGGUGGAGCAUGUGGUUUAAUUCGAAGCAACGCGAAGAACCUUACCAAAUCUUGACAUCCUUUGACCGCUCUAGAGAUAGAGUUUUCCUCUUCGGAGGACAAAGUGACAGGUGGUGCAUGGUUGUCGUCAGCUCGUGUCGUGAGAUGUUGGGUUAAGUCCCGCAACGAGCGCAACCCUUGAACUUAGUUGCCAUCAUUCAGUUGGGCACUCUAAGUUGACUGCCGGUGACAAACCGGAGGAAGGUGGGGAUGACGUCAAAUCAUCAUGCCCCUUAUGAUUUGGGCUACACACGUGCUACAAUGGACAAUACAAAGGGCAGCGAAACCGCGAGGUCAAGCAAAUCCCAUAAAGUUGUUCUCAGUUCGGAUUGUAGUCUGCAACUCGACUACAUGAAGCUGGAAUCGCUAGUAAUCGUAGAUCAGCAUGCUACGGUGAAUACGUUCCCGGGUCUUGUACACACCGCCCGUCACACCACGAGAGUUUGUAACACCCGAA
RNAcentral lists this ribosomal RNA (1366 nucleotides) under Staphylococcus pseudintermedius. RNAcentral describes it as "bacterial SSU rRNA". Lineage: Bacteria; Bacillati; Bacillota; Bacilli; Caryophanales; Staphylococcaceae. The record is from RNAcentral.